This 501-nucleotide ribosomal RNA is filed under the name uncultured bacterium. RNAcentral describes it as "partial 16S ribosomal RNA". It matches the Rfam family "Bacterial small subunit ribosomal RNA", at positions 30 to 523 of the family's 1533-position model. The record is from RNAcentral.
AUUGAACGCUGGCGGCAGGCUUAACACAUGCAAGUCGAGCGGGGGAAGGUAGCUUGCUACCGGACCUAGCGGCGGACGGGUGAGUAAUGCUUAGGAAUCUGCCUAUUAGUGGGGGACAACAUCUCGAAAGGGAUGCUAAUACCGCAUACGUCCUACGGGAGAAAGCAGGGGAUCUUCGGACCUUGCGCUAAUAGAUGAGCCUAAGUCGGAUUAGUUAGUUGGUGGGGUAAAGGCCUACCAAGGCGACGAUCUGUAGCGGGUCUGAGAGGAUGAUCCGCCACACUGGGACUGAGACACGGCCCAGACUCCUACGGGAGGCAGCAGUGGUGAAUAUUGGACAAUGGGGGGAACCCUGAUCCAGCCAUGCCGCGUGUGUGAAGAAGGCCUUAUGGUUGUAAAGCACUUUAAGCGAGGAGGAGGCUACUCUAGUUAAUACCUAGGGAUAGUGGACGUUACUCGCAGAAUAAGCACCGGCUAACUCUGUGCCAGCAGCCGCAGUAA